UGGGGAAUAUUGCACAAUGGGGGAAACCCUGAUGCAGCGACGCCGCGUGAGUGAAGAAGUAUCUCGGUACGUAAAGCUCUAUCAGCAGGGAAGAAAAAAAGUCUCUGGCUUUGGACGGUACCUGACUAAGAAGCCCCGGCUAACUACGUGCCAGCAGCCGCGGUAAUACGUAGGGGGCAAGCGUUAUCCGGAUUUACUGGGUGUAAAGGGAGCGUAGACGGCAGCGCAAGUCUGGAGUGAAAUGCCGGGGCUCAACCCCGGAACUGCUUUGGAAACUGUGCAGCUAGAGUGCGGGAGAGGUAA
This 303-nucleotide ribosomal RNA is filed under the name uncultured bacterium. RNAcentral's name for it is "bacterial SSU rRNA". It matches the Rfam family "Bacterial small subunit ribosomal RNA", at positions 355 to 660 of the family's 1533-position model. The record is from RNAcentral.